ACGAGAAAAGAGAGAGAAAUAAAUGGACAAAGAUAAAGAAAGAGAGAAAACUCAAGACUCCAGUUGUAUUUUUUACAAGUUUUAUUCUCCGCUGAAGAAACAAACAGCCUUGUAUCUUCCACCCUCUUGACCUUAACCUGGUUCCAGAUCUGGUCCUGUUAUCAUAAACCUGGUCCCAGAUCUGGUCCUGUUAUCAUAAACCUGGUUCCAGAUCUGGUCCUGUUAUCAUAAACCUGGUUCCAGAUCUGGUCCUGUUAUCAUAAACCUGGUUCCAGAUCUGGUCCUGUUGUCAUUGACCUGGUCCCAGAUCUGGUCCUGUUGUCAUUGACCUGGUCCCAGAUCUGGUCCUGUUGUCAUUGACCUGGUUCCAGAUCUGGUCCUGUAGACAUUGACCUGGUCCCAGAUCUGGUCCUGUUGUCAUUGACAUAAACCUGGUUCCAGAUCUGGUUCUGUUGACAUAAACCUGGUUCCAGAUCUGGUCCUGUUGUCAUUGACCUUAGCCUGGUUCCAGAUAAGGUCGUGCCGUCUCCGACAAGGCAUUGUCUUACAUCAGAUAGUGCGAUGAUUCUGUCUGCAUUGACUGGUUGAGGACUGCAUGUCGUCUAGGAAUGAAGCCACCUGCCGCAGGACAAUGGCAACAAGAAGUUGUCAUGACAGCAUACACAGGUCUGGGACCAGACUAAGUUAAAGCCUGGUGUCAACCACCCUGUUUCCCUCUGAAAGCACAAACAGGUCUGGGACCAGACUAAGUUAAAGCCUGGUGUCAACCACCCUGUUUCCCUCUGAAAGCACAAACAGGUCUGGGACCAGACUAAGUUAAAGCCUGGUGUCAACCACCCUGUUUCCCUCUGAAAGCACAAACAGGUCUGGGACCAGACUAAGUUAAAGCCUGGUGUCAACUACCCUGUUGUCCUCUGA
RNAcentral lists this long non-coding RNA (918 nucleotides) under Salmo salar (Atlantic salmon). RNAcentral's name for it is "lncRNA (ENSSSAG00000111368.1)". The record is from RNAcentral. Lineage: Eukaryota; Metazoa; Chordata; Actinopteri; Salmoniformes; Salmonidae.